Long non-coding RNA from Sciurus carolinensis (gray squirrel), 554 nucleotides. RefSeq lists it as uncharacterized. The transcript has 3 exons. Lineage: Eukaryota; Metazoa; Chordata; Mammalia; Rodentia; Sciuridae. The record is from RefSeq and is a predicted model, not a curated record.
CGAUCCUCCGACUGCACGGCGCCAACCACAACAUGCUACCCACCGUGAGAGAGCAGGACUCGGGCUGCUCUAGUCAGGACUUAUCGUCUAUCAUACUGAUUGACGAAACCAAGAGUGAGCAGAAAAAAUAAACACGAACAGAGGCUGCAGUGUAUGGGCCAGUCAGCUGGGAGUUUUAGUAUUUGGCCUUGGUGAUCCUACUCUCAUGGCCGUAUGAAUUUCUGCAUGCAAUCUUCUAAUUCCCCAGCUCUGCUUGCCCUGAGAUUUUUGUGGCUGAAUUUGACAAGCAGAAGUAAAGGAGAUGGGUCAGUUCAGGGUGGACCACUCAGAGCAGCACACCUCGAUGAAAUCAUCAUCAGCAUUCAUUCUGGUGCUCACAUCAAGUCAAUGGACACAAUGGAACCAGUACCUCACUAAACAUGGAGAACCAGCACACACUUCCGAGACAACAGCAUUCAAGUUUUCCUCCAUUGUUUUGCUCAUAUGAGGCAACCUGCAUUUGUGGCCCCAUAUUAUACAUGGGCUUUCAUAUUGGCAAUUUGAGAAAUAUUAUU